This 687-nucleotide ribosomal RNA is filed under the name uncultured bacterium. Its description in RNAcentral is "bacterial SSU rRNA". It matches the Rfam family "Bacterial small subunit ribosomal RNA", at positions 92 to 775 of the family's 1533-position model. The record is from RNAcentral.
CGAGCGGCGGACGGGUGAGUAAUGCAUAGGAAUCUGCCCGGUAGUGGGGGAUAACCUGGGGAAACCCAGGCUAAUACCGCAUACGCCCUACGGGGGAAAGCAGGGGCUCUUCGGACCUUGCGCUAUCGGAUGAGCCUAUGUCGGAUUAGCUAGUUGGUAAGGUAAAGGCCUACCAAGGCGACGAUCCGUAGCUGGUCUGAGAGGAUGAUCAGCCACAUCGGGACUGAGACACGGCCCGAACUCCUACGGGAGGCAGCAGUGGGGAAUAUUGGACAAUGGGGGCAACCCUGAUCCAGCCAUGCCGCGUGUGUGAAGAAGGCCUUCGGGUUGUAAAGCACUUUCAGCGAGGAAGAAGGCCUGGUGGCCAAUACCCACCAGGAAGGACAUCACUCGCAGAAGAAGCACCGGCUAACCCCGUGCCAGCAGCCGCGGUAAUACGGAGGGUGCGAGCGUUAAUCGGAAUUACUGGGCGUAAAGCGUGCGUAGGUGGUCGUUUAAGUCCGUUGUGAAAGCCCUGGGCUCAACCUGGGAACGGCAUCCGGAACUGUCAAGCUAGAGUGCAGGAGAGGAAGGUAGAAUUCCCGGUGUAGCGGUGAAAUGCGUAGAGAUCGGGAGGAAUACCAGUGGCGAAGGCGGCCUUCUGGACUGACACUGACACUGAGGUGCGAAAGCGUGGGUAGCAAACAG